GGAGAGGUGGCCGAGUUGGCCGAAGGCGCACGCCUGCUAAGCGUGUGUAGGGUAAAACCUACCGAGGGUUCGAAUCCCUCCCUCUCCGCCA
Molecule: transfer RNA, 91 nt
Filed under: Nitrospinota bacterium
Lineage: Bacteria; Pseudomonadati; Nitrospinota
Description: tRNA-Ser
Rfam family: tRNA
About the family: Transfer RNA (tRNA) molecules are approximately 80 nucleotides in length. Their secondary structure includes four short double-helical elements and three loops (D, anti-codon, and T loops).
Source: RNAcentral